RNAcentral lists this ribosomal RNA (142 nucleotides) under uncultured eukaryote. Its description in RNAcentral is "partial 18S ribosomal RNA". It matches the Rfam family "Eukaryotic small subunit ribosomal RNA", at positions 1299 to 1458 of the family's 1831-position model. The record is from RNAcentral.
UGGUGGAGUGAUUUGUCUGGUUUAUUCCGUUAACGAACGAGACCUCGACCUGCUAAAUAGGGUGACGUAGGCUCUUGCUUAUGGACACAACUUCUUAGAGGGACUGUCGGUUCUGAGCCGAAGGAAGUUCGAGGCAAUAACA